This is a long non-coding RNA of Panicum virgatum (switchgrass), 266 nucleotides long. RefSeq lists it as uncharacterized. Lineage: Eukaryota; Viridiplantae; Streptophyta; Magnoliopsida; Poales; Poaceae. The record is from RefSeq and is a predicted model, not a curated record. The transcript has 3 exons.
UUCCAGUAGGCCGGCCAUACCGAGGCGAACUAGAGCCGUGGCCACACCAUGAUGAGGAGUCUAGGCCCACCGUUGCUUACUGUUGGAAGAAUGUGGGAGCUGUAAGAGGGGAUCCUGCACGCCGCUACAUGCGUUACAUGGACGACCUAGACUGCCUCACUCAAAAUCAGAUCUUCUGGACACCGUACAGUAGAGCCGAGCUGGACGAGUUGGAACUGAGUGAUAUUUGCACACGUGAUGCCGAACUGUGGAGGACUUGCGGGCCU